This 392-nucleotide ribosomal RNA is filed under the name Salmonella enterica subsp. enterica serovar Lubbock. RNAcentral's name for it is "partial 23S ribosomal RNA". It matches the Rfam family "Bacterial large subunit ribosomal RNA", at positions 987 to 1378 of the family's 2925-position model. Lineage: Bacteria; Pseudomonadati; Pseudomonadota; Gammaproteobacteria; Enterobacterales; Enterobacteriaceae. The record is from RNAcentral.
CACGGCGGGUGCUAACGUCCGUCGUGAAGAGGGAAACAACCCAGACCGCCAGCUAAGGUCCCAAAGUCAUGGUUAAGUGGGAAACGAUGUGGGAAGGCCCAGACAGCCAGGAUGUUGGCUUAGAAGCAGCCAUCAUUUAAAGAAAGCGUAAUAGCUCACUGGUCGAGUCGGCCUGCGCGGAAGAUGUAACGGGGCUAAACCAUGCACCGAAGCUGCGGCAGCGACGCUGUGCGUUGUUGGGUAGGGGAGCGUUCUGUAAGCCUGUGAAGGUGGCCUGUGAGGGUUGCUGGAGGUAUCAGAAGUGCGAAUGCUGACAUAAGUAACGAUAAAGCGGGUGAAAAGCCCGCUCGCCGGAAGACCAAGGGUUCCUGUCCAACGUUAAUCGGGGCAGG